Haemorhous mexicanus (house finch) is the source of this 3117-nucleotide long non-coding RNA. RefSeq lists it as uncharacterized. The record is from RefSeq and is a predicted model, not a curated record. The transcript is spliced from 6 exons. Lineage: Eukaryota; Metazoa; Chordata; Aves; Passeriformes; Fringillidae.
CGCAGUCAAGGCCAAGUGGUCAAGGUGAGUAUUGAGUAGUGUACAGGAGCAGUUGUUAUUGCUCAAGUCUCAGGUUCUGGUGCAGCUCUAAGCAUUCAUUCCUGUUUGUGCACUUUAGGCAAUCGACUCAGCGUACAUCCAGCCCCCGUCACCUGCCGGCUGAUGCACCGGGUUUCCUGCAAAUGCAAGUCCUGUGGAAGUAUUACAAGAGUCUGUGAUGAUGAAGCCUUCAACUUUUCUAUUUCAUGGUCCCAUCCUGGCAGCCCUCAGGAACGGCGGAGGAGUUGCGGUGAGUGGAGGAGGCGGGGAGGAGGAGGGAGGCUCCACUCAGGUCCCGGCAAUGAUAAAUCACCUUGUCUCCACUUUAACCCAGCUGCACCCUGCAACAAUGGCGAUGGCCUCCAAGCAAGCCUGAAGCGUGUGGCCCGAGGACCUGGGCGUUCUUAGGAGAGGGGUGAGUAGCAAUGCUGUCAUAUUUUGGCCGCCGUGCUGCUGAGAUUAUGCACUGACCUUUGGUUUCCUUUCUCCUGGCAGACUAAGAGACAACAGCCCGGUGUCAGCAGGGACUUCCCAGACGGCGCGUCCGCUUUCCUUCCCCCCUCGCUCAGAUCGGCACGCCCACCUGUCCGAGAGAUAAGUAGAGGGCUACGACCCAGAGAGGGGAUGAAAGGGGGGUCUGGGUCACAAUUCACUUUGAUGGGAUUUUAAUUCAGCUUUGGUGAUGGGGAUUUCCAAGCAGUGGCCCCUUAGGCCCUGUAAAGGGAAAAUGUCACUUUUGAUCAGAGUGCCAAGGUGCACAGGGCAGAGCAGGUCCGGUGUGUAUCGUGUCACUUGUCUAUUGUGCAUUCUCUGUGUUUGGAUAUGUCAUGUCUAUUACCUCAGGCCUUUGAGGGGCCUAUCAGAAACCAUUCUUGGCAUCUGUGAUCUGUGUUCUUUAUUCUGGCACCAAUGCAAUAGAACUUUUGACUUAGGAGCUCAGACUGCCUUCAGACUCGCAUGUCUUCUUUAGAGGCAUCCAGUCAGAUGUCUUCUCAGGUCUUGUCCCGAGCUGUACGGGAAGCCGCUCCCUGCAAGGGAUCCAUUACGGCAGGUUAGGACUUGUCAGAAUGAGAGCUCUAGGCAGAGGAUUCUGACCGUAGGAUUCCCAGGCAUCCAUCUUGGCAGUUCUUGAGAUAAAUCAUUCAGUUAGCAUCUUCUUCCUCCAGGCUUCUCUGAGCCUCAUCAGCUCUCCAUCGGUCUCACCUCGGUCAUCUCAAUCUGCAUUCUCUCAGUCCUUGCAGUCAUUUCCAUUGCCAAGAGAUUUCUGUGUGUGUUGUGUCCCCCUUGUUCGUCACGGGUGUCUGCACGCAUUUGUGCCGGAGCUGCUCUGCCCUGCCGCAUAGCCUGGUGCAAUAGGGGCAGUCCCGGGGCCUUGUAGUUUGUAAUGUGGGGUGUGGUUGGACUCUAGAUGGGCACACGAUGUCUGGAGCUCUGCAGGUAAAGUUAUCUUUCAACAGUUUGACUAUUGUCCUAACUUUCCUUUCAGAUUCAUAUGGAUCAAAUCUGUCCCAGAGGGCCCUAUCCUGGGUGCAGGCAUCCUCCUGAGCAGCAAGUCAAGGCAGAGAGCAGCAGUCAAGGCCAAGUGGGCAAGGCAAUCGACUCGGCGUACAUCCAGCCCCCGUCACCAACCGGCCGAUGCACCUGGUUUCCUGCAAAUGUGAGCCCCGUGGAAGUAUUACAGGAGUCUGUGAUGAUGAAGCCUUCAACUUUGCUAUUUCAUGGUCCCAUCCUGGCAGCCCUCAGGAACGGCCAAGGAGUUGCGGUGUGAUGACGGUGUCAGCUGCCGAGCAGGCCUGAAGCGUGCGGCCCGAGGAGCUGUGCCUUCACAGGAGAACGACUCAGAGACAACAGCCUGGUGUCAGCAGGGACUUCCCAGACAGCGGGUCCGCUUUCUUUCCACCCAGCACGGAUCGGCACGCCCACCUGUCCGAGAGAUAAGUAGAGGGCUACGACCCACAGAGGGGAUGAAAGCGGGGUCUGGGUCACAACUCACAGGGAGGGGAUUUCGAUUUGUCUUUGGAGACGAGGAUGUCCAAGCAGUGCCCCCUUAGGCCCUGUAAAGGGAAAGUAUCGCUUUUGAUCAGAGUGCCAAGGUGCACAGGGCAGAGCAGGUCCGGUGUGUAUCGUGUCACUUGUCUAUCGUGCAUUCUGUGUUUUUUGUAUAUGUCAUGUCUAUUACCUCAGGCCUUUGAGGGGCCUAUCAGAAACCAUUCUUGGCAUCUGUGAUCCGCGUUCUUUAUUCUGGCACCAAUGCCAUAGAACUUUUGACUUAGGAGCUCAGACUGCCAUCAGACUCGCAUCUCUUCUUUAGAAGCAUCCAGUCAGAUGUCUUCUCAGGUCUUGUCCCGAGCUGUACGGGAAGCCGCUCCCUGCAAGGGAUCCAUUACGGCAGGUUAGGACUUGUCAGAAUGAGAUCUCUAGGCAGAGGAUUCUGACCGUAGGAUUCCCAGGCAUCCAUCUUGGCAGUUCUUGAGAUAAAUCAUUCAGUUAGCAUCUUCUUCCUCCAGGCUUCUCUGAGCCUCAUCAGCUCUCCAUCGGUCUCACCUCGGUCAUCUCAUUCUUCAUUCUCUCAGUCCUUGCAGUCAUUUUCCUUGCCAAGAGAUUUCUGUCCGUGUUGUGUCCCCCUUGUUUGUCACGUCCCGUCCUGUGUCACGGGUGUCUGCACGCAUUUGUGCCGGAGCCGCUCUGCCCUGCCGCAUAGCCUGGUGCAAUAGGGGAAGUCCCGGGGCCUUGUAGUUGGUAAUGUGGGGUGUGGUUGGACUCUAGAUGGCAUUUGUAGAUGGACACAAGAUGUUUGCAGCUGGGAAGUUAUCCUGGAGACCUUUGACGUUUGUUCUUACUUGUUUUUCAGAUUCAUCUGGAUAAUAUCUGUGCACGAGGGCCCCAUCCUGGGUCUGGGAGUCCCGCGGAGCAGGUCCGUCACUGUUUGUCUCUGCAGCAGAAGUGUAAAUGGUGACUCUGUUACAGCGCUGUUCUUUGUCUUUUUCGGAAGUCAAGGCAGAGAGCCACAGUCAAGGCCAAGUAGGCAAGGUGGUCCACUUGCCAUCUCUCCUGGCCGAGCAUGCCCGAUGUCAGGUG